AACGAACGCUGGCGGCGUGGCUAAGACAUGCAAGUCGUACGGUAUGUUGUAGCAAUAUGGCAUACAGUGGCGGACGGGUGAGUAAUGAAUGGGUAAUGUGCCCUGGACACAGGAAUAGCGUCGGAACCCGCAAGGGUUCCUUUGCGAAAGUGACGGUAAUACCUGAUAAAGACGUUGGAAGGAUGCUUUUGACGUCCAAAGGGUGGGGACCUUCGGGCCUACCGGUCUGGGAUCAGCCCAUCCUAUCAGCUAGUUGGUGAGGUAACGGCCCACCAAGGCAUCGACGGGGUAGCCGGUCUGAGAGGAUGGUCGGCCACAUCGGAACUGAGACACUGUCCGGACACCUACGGGU
This 352-nucleotide ribosomal RNA is filed under the name uncultured bacterium. Its description in RNAcentral is "bacterial SSU rRNA". It matches the Rfam family "Bacterial small subunit ribosomal RNA", at positions 29 to 346 of the family's 1533-position model. The record is from RNAcentral.